CAGUCGCCGCGGUAAAACGUAGGUCCCGAGCGUUGUCCGGAUUUAUUGGGCGUAAAGCGAGCGCAGGCAGUUAGAUAAGUCUGAAGUUAAAGGAUGUGGCUUAACCAUAGUACGCUUUGGAAACUGUUUAACUUGAGUGCAAGAGGGGAGAGUGGAAUUCCAUGUGUAGCGGUGAAAUGCGUAGAUAUAUGGAGGAACACCGGUGGCGAAAGCGGCUCCCUGGCUUGUAACUGACGCUGAGGCUCGAAAGCGUGGGGAGCAAACAGGAUUAGAUACCCCCGUAGUCCCUGUCUCUUAUACA
This 301-nucleotide ribosomal RNA is filed under the name uncultured bacterium. Its description in RNAcentral is "partial 16S ribosomal RNA". It matches the Rfam family "Bacterial small subunit ribosomal RNA", at positions 509 to 808 of the family's 1533-position model. The record is from RNAcentral.